CAAGGUAUAGCUCAAUGCAAAGCAUCCUGUUUACACCCGGAAGAUAUCAACAUUACUUGAUUACCUUGA
This 69-nucleotide transfer RNA is filed under the name Trachypithecus phayrei (Phayre's leaf monkey). RNAcentral describes it as "tRNA-Val". The record is from RNAcentral. Lineage: Eukaryota; Metazoa; Chordata; Mammalia; Primates; Cercopithecidae.